CAGCGCACCUCCUCAGCCUCCUCUCCUCUGAUCUUUCAUCCACCCGUUACAUGGCAGUGUUUCCCCAGGAGUUGGCUUGGCCCCUUUCUCUUGGGUCAUGCUGUCACCCAGGCUGGAGUACAGUGGUGUGAUCACAGCUCACCGCAGCCUCGACCUCCCAUGCUCAAGCCAUCCUCCCACCUCAACCUCCUGAGUUACUGGGAAUACAGGCUCCACGAGCAGAUGGGCAGAUGAAUAGAAGAGCAGAGGAGGAGAAGAACAACGUGGCAGAGAAGGAGAGAGAAGGAGCAUCUGAACGUUGAGAGGAGUUUGGCCGGGGAUGGUCAGACAGUUGAUCAUCCACAGCACAGCGAAACUCUAUGGGGAAGAUCAUCUUCACACUCCAUCCCCUUUCCAGUUCCCCAUCCAUUCCAAUGACAGCUACCUCCAUCGCCCAAUAAAAUCCCCACAUUCACC
This 456-nucleotide long non-coding RNA is filed under the name Homo sapiens (human). RNAcentral describes it as "HSALNT0159474". Lineage: Eukaryota; Metazoa; Chordata; Mammalia; Primates; Hominidae. The record is from RNAcentral.